Molecule: non-coding RNA, 4088 nt
Organism: Callithrix jacchus (white-tufted-ear marmoset)
Lineage: Eukaryota; Metazoa; Chordata; Mammalia; Primates; Cebidae
Source: RefSeq, a predicted model, not a curated record
UGAAAAAAUAGAGGCAACUUUUCUUCCACUGCAGCAUGAAGGAAGCUGGGUUUUAGGAGCAUUAGCACUUGCUAGUCUCUGUAGAAGUGAUAUGUUUGCAAUUUAGGGAUGGUUUGGAGAAUAGAUGUGUAAUUGCUACAUCAGUUAUUGUACUGUGCACGUUACUUAAAUAUCUCUGGGGUAAGAGAAAUGAACAAUUAAUUAGAUUAUAAGAAGAUGAAGGGAAAAAUGUUCUUUAUGUUUAUAUUGUUAGUGCUAUUUUUGUUAAGUGUUGCCCUGCAAACACGGGGGCUUUUUAUUUAUUGAUCCAUGGCUUUCGAUUUAUAGAUCCUUUGUAAUUAAAAAGAGAUGUGGAGAUUUGAGGGUAAGAGUGAGAAGCGGACCCUGCCCACCAGCAAACCCUUUAGCAUUUCAAUAUGUGGCAAAUUUUCUAAGAACAACCACUUAAUGGGUUAAGUUUGUGCUUCAGUACAGUGGAAGGAUACCUUUUACUGAACCUCUUUUGCUUUUCAAAAACCAAAAGUACAGCUUCGGUACAGAGGAAAGGAUACCUUUUCCUGACCUCUUUUGGUUCUCAAAAAAGUGAUUUCAUUCUUUUUUUCUUUCCUUCUCCCCUCCUCCCUCAAUUUUAUUUAUUAAAUAUACUUUUAUUCAGGAGUUCAGGAUGCUGCAUUUCAUAGAAAAAGUACAGGGUACUUUUUUUUUCCUCCAAACUCUGCCGGACCUGAUUCUGCUCAGGGUUCUUAAACAGAAAUGUUUAAGAAAUGUUCUAAAGAACAGAAAUGUUCUAAAGAUUGUAUGAACUAACUCAAAUAUUUACAGAACUGAAACUAAAUAUUUGCUACUUGGUGCAGUUGUGAAAUUGUUUUUUAAGAUGCAUUGUGUUGUUUGUUGGAUCCUGAAACUGAGUUAAAAUUUGACCAGUAAUAUGGUUUAUUUCUUUGUUCCUCUGAGGCAUAAUUCCUAAUAUUGUUUUUCCAACUAGAAAUCUGAAGGGUAUUGUGUUCAGUGUGUACUUUAAGAGUGAUAUGAAUUUGCAGGAGUCAGGACACACCAUAACAAAGACAGAAGAGAAAUAAGUGAGUAAGAGAGAGAAAUGAAACAAGAUGCAUGCGGGAAUAUUGUUGUAAGGCUUUUCCAUAGUUCAGCUAAAAACGAGGUUCUAUGUCCCAUGGCCACAAAAAUUCAGGCUUGCAGAUAGUUUAAAGGGUUAGCGAAGCAGGGUAUUAUUGGGUGAAAAGGGCGGGGAAACAAGUACUCUCGCAAGGUCAGAGGCCCUCUGCUAGAGCGCUUUCCACCUGGCAGUUUGAAUCCCAGGUUCCACACAGGAGAAAGAGGGGCCAGGCUCAGGCUCAUUCCUGCUGCAAACCUUGUGAACUUCCCAAGGCUCCACCUCAGUGGGCAGGCUGGUUGGGAGUUUCUCUAGGGACCGCUUCCCACCUGGCUGUCUCAGUAUUAGUCGGAGGAGCUAGAGAUGUAAAAAAGCAGAAGAGUACUAGGGACAUUUAGAAGGUUUAGUAAGAGAGGCAAAUGGGAGAUUUAGGGGAAAUUUUAAGGGGAGAGUUACAUAUUAGCUUAGUAAGAAUGAAAAAGAAUUAUGGAAGUCUUAGUAUUCUGAACCUUUAAGACAAUUUUGCAUUAGUGUGGAACCAGAAAGAAUAAAGGUUGAUAUUUUUAUAUGAGCAAAAAUCCAAACAAUGUUUACUGCUUAAUCCAAUCUUACCCAUCUUUUUCUCUGUCUAGAAUCUAAAAGCUGAAGCUCCUUGUUAUUCUUGGAGAUGUAUGUUAAAUGAAAGAAAGUUGGCAGGGACUUUUAAAAUACUACAAUUUAUAUUCAGUAAAAUUCACUCUUUUGGUGUACAUUUCUAUGAGUUUUGAUAAACAUAUAUUCAUGUAAUACCAUCAGAGUCAAGCUAUCGAGCCAUACCCACCCACUCCGGAUUCCCUCAUGCUCCUGUGUAGAAUGUCUCUUCCUCUACCCCCAGCCCUUGGCAACCACUGAUUUGUUUUUUGUUCUUGCACUUUGGCUUUUCCAGAAUGUCAUAUCAGCAGAAUCCUGCAGUAGGUAAAUGUAGAAUCUGACUUUAUUCACUUAGCAAUAAUACAUUUGCAAGUCAUCUUUAUUAUAGUAUGUGUCAUUUGUCAAAGAAAAACAAGUCUGAGCUUAGAUAGGGAGAAACUUUAUUCAAAGGGACUGUUGAAAUAGAAGUAACAUUGAUUUGGAAAAUAUAUUAAUGGUGUGGGAGAGAGCAGGGGAAAAGGUCUAAGGAUUUCAACAGGAAAUGGUGUUUUGUAGUCAGGGUAAGGCAGGAUGUUUUCUUGCAAGUCUGUGCUUUGGGGCUUGUUAGGCAAACUUGCAGGCAAACCCAUUUGGGGUCUGUCAGGAGGAGAAUAACUUGACAAAGGUUUGGCCAGCUCACACACAGUAAGAAGUGGGCAAUUGUGAAUGUGUGAUUCAAUUUUUUUUUAUUAGGGCUGAAGAAUAGUUGUUUACCUCUUCACCAGCUGAAGCAUAUUUCAGUUGUUGCUAGUUUUUCUGAUAAUGAAUGAAGCAGAUGUAAAUACUCCUUGCAGGUUUUUGGGUAAACACAAGUUUUUACGCCCCUUGUUUAAAUACCUAGGGAUAGGAUGGCCAGGGCAUGUGGUGCAUUUACAUUUAUCAUAAUGAACUGCUUAACUCUUUUCCAGAGUGCCUAUAACAUUUUGUAUUUUCAGUCAUGAUGCAUGAAAAUUCCAGUUGAAUCCUGUCCAUUCUGGCACUGCUAUAAAUAAAUAACCUGAGACCGAGUAAUCUGUAAAGAAAAGAGGCUCACCAUUCCACAGGCUGGGCAGGAAACAUGAUUCUGGCAUCUGCUCAGCUUCUAGAGAGGCCUCAGGAAACUUAACAAUCAUGGCAGAAAACAAAGGGGGAGUCUACACUUUGCUUGGCCAGAGUGAGAAGAAGAGAGGGAGCGGGGGAGGAUACCACACAGUUUUCAACAACCAGAUCUCAAGAGGACUCACUCUUACUGCGACACAGUACCAAGAGGGAAAUCUGCCCCCAUGAUGCCAUCACCUCCCACCGGACCCAGCUCCAACACUGGAGAUUACAAUUCAACAUAAGGUAGAACUCUGCAGAGAAAAUGCCUAGCACUUAUAUCUCCGGUAACUCCUAUCAAGGUUUAUUGUUGCUUGUUCAUCAUUGCAGUUCUGACUACAAGUGUGGUUGCACUUUCUAUUGUUUUGUCAGCAAGAGAAGAAAAGCCAGUGAUAGAGUCACCUAAGUAUGCUGCUUGCCCAAAAAGCUGGAUUGGAUUUGGGAGUAAAUGUUUUUAUUUUUCUGAAGACACAAGAAAUUGGACUUUCAGUCAAGUCUUCUGUGUCUCAUUAGAAGCCAGCCUUGCUCAGUUUGCAACUAUGGAAGAACUGAAUUUCCUGAAAAGAUACAAAGGCCCUUCUGACCACUGGAUUGGCCUUAGAAGAGAAUCAUACCAUCACAUUUGGAGGUGGACAGACAACACAGAAUAUAAUAACAUGUUUCUUAUCAGAGGAGUUGGAGAAUGUGCCUACCUGAAUGACAAUGGAGUCAGUAGUGCCAGCAUCUAUACAGACAGAAAAUGGAUUUGUAGCAAGCCAAAGAGUUAUGUCUACAGUUGCCAAAUUAGAAACUCUUUACAGAAUUUCCCUAUAGAUGUGUCAUAACUUGUUAUAUAUAAUUAAUGUAUAUAACACCUGGAAACACCUGGAUAUCCAGGCAGAAGACUGCCAUAGGGGUGGAUCCCUCUUGAAGAACCUCUACUAGGGCAAUGCAGAGAUCCCCCACUGGGAUGCUACCUGGUAGAGCUGUAAAACAAGAGCCACCAUCCUCUGAGUUCCUGGAAAGCCCACACCCACUAACUUUGGGACUGUCAAGACUCACCUAAAUCAGUUGAAAGCUGAUUUACUGAAAGCUACUCAGUUACAGAGGAGGGUAUCCUCAGAAAGCUGUCUUUGUUUUAAAGUCUUCUUUUAUAUAUAAAAGCUAAAUUAUGUCUACAUGUGAGUAGGCUGUCAGUGUGACACAAUUUGGUACUUCAUUGAUAUAAAGAAACUUAUCUUUGUCAUUUUAA